GAGGAAUCUUGCGCAAUGGGGGAAACCCUGACGCAGCCACGCCGCGUGGGUGAAGAAGGCCUUCGGGUCGUAAAGCCCUGUCAGGUGGGAAGAACCGCAGUUGGAUGAAUAAUCCGGCUGCCUGACGGUACCACCAAAGGAAGCACCGGCUAACUCCGUGCCAGCAGCCGCGGUAAUACGGAGGGUGCAAGCGUUGUUCGGAAUUACUGGGCGUAAAGCGCGUGUAGGCGGACCUAUAAGUCAGAUGUGAAAGCCCUGGGCUCAACCCAGGAAGCGCAUCUGAUACUGUAGGCCUUGAGUCCCGGAGAGNGUUGUGGAAUUCCCGGUGUAGAGGUGAAAUUCGUAGAUAUCGGGAGGAACACCAGUGGCGAAGGCGACAACCUGGACGAGGACUGACGCUGAGACGCGAAAGCGUGGGGAGCAAACA
This 427-nucleotide ribosomal RNA is filed under the name uncultured bacterium. RNAcentral's name for it is "bacterial SSU rRNA". It matches the Rfam family "Bacterial small subunit ribosomal RNA", at positions 356 to 774 of the family's 1533-position model. The record is from RNAcentral.